AUGACGAGUGGCGCACGGGUGCGUAACGCGUAUGCAACCUACCCUUUACUGGGGGAUAGCCCGGAGAAAUUCGGAUUAAUACCCCAUGGUACUAUAAUAUAGCAUUAUAUAAUAGUUAAAGAUUUAUUGGUAAAGGAUGGGCAUGCGUGACAUUAGUUAGUUGGUAAGGUAACGGCUUACCAAGACGAUGAUGUCUAGGGGUUCUGAGAGGAAGGUCCCCCACACUGGUACUGAGACACGGACCAG
This 246-nucleotide ribosomal RNA is filed under the name uncultured bacterium. Its description in RNAcentral is "partial 16S ribosomal RNA". It matches the Rfam family "Bacterial small subunit ribosomal RNA", at positions 88 to 334 of the family's 1533-position model. The record is from RNAcentral.